UAAUUAUGACGGUUUAGACUGAUUAUGCCAGAAAUUAUUAUACUUUCAAAACACUGACCUCGCUGAAAUUGUGUAAUUCGCGCGCACCGAAUCACAAAGUAGACUAGCUGAGGCAAUCCAGCGUCAUUUCACCGCUGAUUCAUUUGUCACCUAACGUUAAUUCUCAAGAACUUCAGAUAAAAAUGUGACAUUGAAGAGUUUACCGUAUCUAAAGUCACUCUUUCAGUUGUGUCGUGAAGACAGGAAAAUGUCAACGUGAGCAAAACAACCUGGAAGUUGAAACGCGGGAGACCAACAAGACAUCUCUCAUCAAUUUUACCCGCAAGACAGGCAGCGAAAGCUUCACAACCCUGUCUUGCGUGUCUGGGAUACAGGAACGAGAAUGGACAUGACUCUACAUUUCCCAGACCUAAUUCAGUAUGGAAAUAAACAUGGAGUUGCAGGAUGGAUGUGAUAUUUGGCAAAUGAGCAAGGUAAACUGGAUUGUCUUGGAAGGCACUACCCAGACCUAAUUAAUUACAGAAGUAAAGGUGGAGUUGGAGGAUGGAUGCCAGAGGAAUUGUCUAAGGAGUAAGAACCAGAGCAAGCCAUCCCGUCCACUGUGUGGUGUCAUAGUCUUCUUCUCCACCUCCUUUGCUCUUCUGUUCCUUCUCUCUGCAUUUCCCUCCCUCCGAUGGAUCAGGCCGCCCCGGUGCGCCACCAGACCAAAAAGCAAAAAGGGCAAGAAAUUUGUCA
Long non-coding RNA from Sinocyclocheilus rhinocerous, 735 nucleotides. RefSeq lists it as uncharacterized. Lineage: Eukaryota; Metazoa; Chordata; Actinopteri; Cypriniformes; Cyprinidae. The record is from RefSeq and is a predicted model, not a curated record. The transcript has 4 exons.